GAUGAACGCUGGCGGUGUGCCUUAGGCAUGCAAGUCGAACGCUUCCUUCGGGAAGAGUGGCAGACGGGUGAGUAACACGUAGGAAUCUACCCAGUAGUGGGGAAUAGCCUUCCGAAAGGAGGAGUAAUACCGCAUACGCCCGCAAGGGGAAAGCAUUUAUGCGCUAUUGGAGGAGCCUGCGCGCUAUCAGCUAGUUGGUGAGGUAAAAGCUCACCAAGGCGACGACGGCUAGCCGAUGUGAGAGCAUGAUCGGCCACAAGGUCACUGAGACACGGGGCCUACACCUACGGGUGGCAGCAACCGGGAAUUUUGCGCAAUGGACGAAAGUCUGACGCAGCGACACCGCGUGUGGGAUGACACUCUUCGGAGCGUAAACCACUGUGGCAGGGGAGGAAGAUCUGACAGUACCCUGCUAGAAAGCACCUGCUAACCACG
Molecule: ribosomal RNA, 435 nt
Filed under: uncultured bacterium
Lineage: Bacteria
Description: bacterial SSU rRNA
Rfam family: Bacterial small subunit ribosomal RNA
Source: RNAcentral